AACCCCCCGUCCGUCAAACGUUUCGUUCAACCAACGCACAAACAUACAACCAAAACAUGCCAUACACCCAACCCUAAUACCAAGAGCAUUACCCCAUACCACCACUAACAAAUUGACCAUCAACUUGAGACCCAACAUCGCUUCGCACCCACUCCAUCACCCUACCAAAGCCGCCUUAGCCAGAACACCCAACGAUCAUUCAACACCAACCACCCCUCCUCAUACCAUAGCUAAGAAGCCCAAACCUCACAAAACCAAAACAUCCAACAACCCUAUCUCUACC
This 283-nucleotide long non-coding RNA is filed under the name Lathyrus oleraceus (garden pea). RNAcentral describes it as "Pisum sativum (pea) long non-coding RNA (PSAT_LNC007756)". Lineage: Eukaryota; Viridiplantae; Streptophyta; Magnoliopsida; Fabales; Fabaceae. The record is from RNAcentral.